RNAcentral lists this transfer RNA (71 nucleotides) under Candidatus Bathyarchaeota archaeon. RNAcentral's name for it is "tRNA-Ala". It matches the Rfam family "tRNA". Rfam says of the family: Transfer RNA (tRNA) molecules are approximately 80 nucleotides in length. Their secondary structure includes four short double-helical elements and three loops (D, anti-codon, and T loops). Further hydrogen bonds mediate the characteristic L-shaped molecular structure. tRNAs have two regions of fundamental functional importance: the anti-codon, which is responsible for specific mRNA codon recognition, and the 3' end, to which the tRNAs corresponding amino acid is attached (by aminoacyl-tRNA synthetases). tRNAs cope with the degeneracy of the genetic code in two manners: having more than one tRNA (with a specific anti-codon) for a particular amino acid; and 'wobble' base-pairing, i.e. permitting non-standard base-pairing at the 3rd anti-codon position. The record is from RNAcentral. Lineage: Archaea; Thermoproteati; Candidatus Bathyarchaeota.
GCCUCGGUGGCUCAGCCUGGUAGAUGCGUCUCGCACCCGCAAGGUCGCGGGUUCAAACCCCGCCCGAGGCU